GAUGAAGAACGUAGUGAAAUGCGAUGAGUAAUGUGAAUUGCAGAAUUCAGUGAAUCAUCGAAUCUUUGAACGCACAUUGCGCCCCCUGGUAUUCCGGGGGGCAUGCCUGUCCGAGCGUCAUUACAACCCUCAAGCUCAGCUUGGUGUUGGGCCCCGCCGCCCCGGCGGGCCCUAAAGUCAGUGGCGGUGCCGUCCGGCUCCGAGCGUAGUAAUUCUUCUCGCUCUGGAGGUCCGGUCGUGUGCUCGCCAGCAACCCCCAAUUUUUUUCAGGUUGACCUCGGAUCAGGUAGGGAUACCCGCUGAACUUAAGCAUAUCAAUAAGCGGAGGA
This 329-nucleotide unclassified non-coding RNA is filed under the name soil metagenome. Its description in RNAcentral is "partial contains 5.8S ribosomal RNA, internal transcribed spacer 2, and large subunit ribosomal RNA". The stretch from base 1 to 120 matches the Rfam family "5.8S ribosomal RNA", at positions 35 to 154 of the family's 154-position model. The record is from RNAcentral.